CCCAGACUCCUACGGGAGGCAGCAGUGGGGAAUAUUGCACAAUGGGGGGAACCCUGAUGCAGCGACGCCGCGUGGGUGAAGGAGCACCUCGGUGCGUAAAGCCCUAUCGGCAGGGAAGAAAAGCGAACAGGUUCGCCUGGACGGUACCUGACUAAGAAGCCCCGGCUAACUACGUGCCAGCAGCCGCGGUAAUACGUAGGGGGCAAGCGUUAUCCGGAUUUACUGGGUGUAAAGGGAGCGUAGACGGUUACGCAAGUCUGGAGUGAAAGGCGGGGGCCCAACCCCCGGACUGCUUUGGAAACUGUAUAACUGGAGUGCAGGAGAGGUAAGUGGAAUUCCUAGUGUAGCGGUGAAAUGCGUAGAUAUUAGGAGGAACACCAGUGGCGAAGGCGACUUUCUGGACUGUACCUGACGCUGAGGCGCGAAAGCGUGGGUAGCGAACGGGAUUAGAUACCCCGGUAC
RNAcentral lists this ribosomal RNA (462 nucleotides) under uncultured bacterium. RNAcentral's name for it is "bacterial SSU rRNA". It matches the Rfam family "Bacterial small subunit ribosomal RNA", at positions 330 to 793 of the family's 1533-position model. The record is from RNAcentral.